This is a long non-coding RNA of Harpia harpyja (harpy eagle), 681 nucleotides long. RefSeq lists it as uncharacterized. The record is from RefSeq and is a predicted model, not a curated record. The transcript has 3 exons. NCBI's taxonomy places the organism in Eukaryota, Metazoa, Chordata, Aves, Accipitriformes, Accipitridae.
UUGCAUGACAGAGUUGCUGAAACGUAAAUCCAGCAAGCAAUGCAAGUUUAAUUCCUAAUGCUGCUGGAUUCCUAACGCUGUGGAGGCAGAGCCUCUUCCUGCUGGGAGCGGCAGUGGUGCCAGGAGGUAUAAAAGCAUAAGUAUCUGCGCAGACAGUUUCGGGGUCUAUUCAGCAUUCAGGCUCAGAGGGACAGAACUGACACCGACCCCAGAGACUACAAAUGUCAUGUGGAAAAUGCUUCAGAAAUAUCUGGCAGUGUAAGAAGCCUGAACAUCUCCCUGCAAGCCCCUGGGAUAGCAGCAACCAAGGGAAAGUUAAGCAGAACCCAAAAAGUCAUCACUCUGGAAUGCUUUAGUCUUCGAAGCCCCAUGCAAGUAAAUCUGCUGUAUUUGGAGAAGAUGCAUGGAAAUUUGACAGACCAGAGAGUAGAGAAAUGUACCCUGCAGAGCCUGAAAGUCAUCACCAGUGCAGACAGGAAAUCUGCUAUUGGCCACACCUGUGUUUUACUGACACGCCCCAGGAAAAAGUUUCAGAGAAAAUUUAUUCUUAGAGAAAAAGGUAAAAACUUCAAUGUAGCAAAUAUAUGUUUAGGUAUGUCAGAGGAUGGCAGUCUUCAAUUUCAUAUAGCUGAUACCUUAGCAGUUAUUAAAAAAAAAACUAUUUGUACCUUUUUGUUGGGG